CAUAUCAAUAAGCGGAGGAAAAGAAACCAACAGGGAUUGCCUCAGUAACGGCGAGUGAAGCGGCAACAGCUCAAAUUUUAAAGCUGACGUCUUCGGCGUCCGCGUUGUAAUUUGGAGAGGCAUCUUCGGUUUGGGCGCCAGUCUAUGUUCCUUGGAACAGGACGUCACAGAGGGUGAGAAUCCCGUGCUUGGCUGGCUGUCCCUUUCCAUGUGAAGUGUCUUCGACGAGUCGAGUUGUUUGGGAAUGCAGCUCAAAAUGGGUGGUAAAUUUCAUCUAAAGCUAAAUAUUGGUGGGAGACCGAUAGCGCACAAGUAGAGUGAUCGAAAGAUGAAAAGCACUUUGAAAAUAGAGUUAAAAAGUACGUGAAAUUGUUGAAAGGGAAGCGCUUGAGACCAGACUCGGCCGGGGAUGAUCAGCGGUCCUUCUGGGCCGUGCACUUGUCUCCGGUUGGGCCAGCAUCGGUUGAGACGGCGGGAUAAAGGCCUGGGGAAUGUGGCUCCUUUCGGGGAGUGUUAUAGCCCCGGGCGCAAUGCCGCCAGCCUCGACCGAGGACCGCGCUUUUUGCUAGGAUGCUGGCGUAAUGGUCUUCAGCGACCCGUCUUGAAACACGGACCAAGGAGUCUAACAUCUAUGCGAGUGUUUGGGUGUCAAACCCUUGCGCGUAA
This 666-nucleotide ribosomal RNA is filed under the name Discina microspora. RNAcentral's name for it is "partial large subunit ribosomal RNA". It matches the Rfam family "Eukaryotic large subunit ribosomal RNA", at positions 39 to 719 of the family's 3401-position model. The record is from RNAcentral. Lineage: Eukaryota; Fungi; Ascomycota; Pezizomycetes; Pezizales; Discinaceae.